Molecule: long non-coding RNA, 456 nt
Filed under: Chloebia gouldiae (Gouldian finch)
Lineage: Eukaryota; Metazoa; Chordata; Aves; Passeriformes; Passeridae
Description: Erythrura gouldiae (Gouldian finch) lncRNA (ENSEGOG00005002999.1)
Source: RNAcentral
AUAGAAUCCAACAGCUAUCAAAAAUCACGGCCAGCUGAGCUGAGUUCAUGCCUGUGCAGGAAUGGAUUGGCUGCAGCCAGCCAAUGUGCCCAGGCAGUGCUCUGGUCAUGAAAAGAGCUGAUAAUUCAUCAAAUCUAUGUCUGCCGUGAUGCCCAGGACUGGACUUCUGCCUUGCAUCCAGCUCAGAUCCUCUAACUCUGCAAAUGUUCCCAGGCUUUGGAAGAAUGACUGCUGGAGUGAGUUACAGCCCAUGCUUGUUGUUUCACCCUGGAGCAAAUAAAAACUGCUUUAUAUAACCAACAGCUGAACUAAGUCCUGAGUCCUGCAAGACCUUCUCCAUGUGCAUUUAAACUCAGUUGACCUACUCACAUCAAAGAGGAUGGAACAGAACAGGUAAUACAGAAUUGGCUUCACAAUUUAUAGAAAUGUCAUAAGUAUUCUGCUUGGGUUUACUCC